GCUAGAAGAAGCCUCUUUUAACCGUGAUGGCGCUCAGUGGGGCCUAGCUGGGCGUUAAAAAAAACCCGGGCAGACCGCAGGGGGCUCUGAUCGGCCCUGUGCCACCCGUCGGAAGUCGAACCAGGUGACGCCUCGGGGUUGAAGUGCCUGAAAUGGACUUUAGUUUCCUUCUCUCUGCUUCCUGCCUCUGAGAAGUGAUCUGCCCCAUCUGCCGCAUGUCCCUGUCACUGUGAUGCGCUGCCUCACCACAGGACCUUGGCACAGAGCCAGCCUGCCAUGGAUGAGAACCUCUGAAGCCACGAACCUAGCAUUAACAGGUGCACAUGGAAGCUUCUAGAAACCCUUAUCUGCACUGGAGAAUAAUCAGGACAGAGCAGCCUGGUGCCUUGCUGGACCCAAUUGACAAAAUCCCUGCAGCUCUCUGAAGGUGGGGGAUUGAAGUGGGCAUCUGCUCUGUGCAGGUUCAAAGGAAAAGCGAUGAAGGACCGAGGCUGUCUGCCUGGGGAAUCUGCACCCACUCCUCUCCUCCCUGAAGUGGCAGAAAGGGAAUGUCUGACAGCUUGGUGGAGCCCUGGCCUUGGAGGAGUCUUGGUCUGGAACAUUACAGGCCCGA
RNAcentral lists this long non-coding RNA (613 nucleotides) under Mus pahari (shrew mouse). Its description in RNAcentral is "lncRNA (MGP_PahariEiJ_G0004067.1)". Lineage: Eukaryota; Metazoa; Chordata; Mammalia; Rodentia; Muridae. The record is from RNAcentral.